Molecule: ribosomal RNA, 468 nt
Filed under: uncultured bacterium
Lineage: Bacteria
Description: partial 16S ribosomal RNA
Rfam family: Bacterial small subunit ribosomal RNA
Source: RNAcentral
GACGAACGCUGGCGGCGUGCUUAACACAUGCAAGUCGAACGGAAAGGCCCUGCUUUUGUGGGGUGCUCGAGUGGCGAACGGGUGAGUAACACGUGAGUAACCUGCCCUUGACAUUGGGAUAACUUCAGGAAACUGGGGCUAAUACAGGAUAGGAGCUCCUGCUGCAUGGUGGGGGAUGGAAAGUUUCGGCGGUUGGGGAGGGACUCGCGGGUUAUCAGCUUGUUGGUGGGGUAGUGGCUUACCAAGGCUUUGACGGGUAGCCGGCCUGAGAGGGUGAGCGGGCACAUCGAGACUGGGAUAGGGACCAGACUCCAACGGGAGGCAGCGGUGGGAAGUAUUACACAGUGGCCGGAAGCCAGAUGCGGAGGCGCCGCGGGCGGGAUGAUGGGCUUCGGGUUGUAAACCGAUUUCGCCUUUGACGAGGCGAGAGUGACGGUAAUGGAUAAAGAAGCACCGGCUAACUACGUG